AUGAUCGGGCAAUCGCUGCAGCAUUUGCUGCAGAGGAAAGUCCAUGCUCACACGGUGCUGAGAUGCCCGUAGUGUUCGUGCCUGGCCAAAAAAUAAGCCAGGGCAUUCCGGUUUAGACUGGUUUGACGGCAGAGGUGAUACCUAAGUUCCUUGGAAUAUGGUAUGAACCUCUUGAAAGUGCCACAGUGACGUAGUUCCAUCAGAAAUGGUGGAAGUGGAACGAGGUAAACCCCGCGAGUGAGAAACUCAAACUAUGGUAGGGGCACUUUCCCCAAGGAAUUGAACAAGGGGAAGGAUCAGCAUAACAAACAUGCUGAUAGAUAGAUGAUUGCCGCCCAAGUACGAGCGUAUUUACGCGUUUGUAGUACUGGGAACAAAACAUGGCUUACAGAU
Molecule: RNase P RNA, 393 nt
Filed under: Jeotgalibacillus soli
Lineage: Bacteria; Bacillati; Bacillota; Bacilli; Caryophanales; Caryophanaceae
Description: 'Jeotgalibacillus soli' Cunha et al. 2011 Bacterial RNase P class B
Rfam family: Bacterial RNase P class B
About the family: Ribonuclease P (RNase P) is a ubiquitous endoribonuclease, found in archaea, bacteria and eukarya as well as chloroplasts and mitochondria.
Source: Rfam by way of RNAcentral